RNAcentral lists this ribosomal RNA (501 nucleotides) under uncultured bacterium. Its description in RNAcentral is "bacterial SSU rRNA". It matches the Rfam family "Bacterial small subunit ribosomal RNA", at positions 29 to 526 of the family's 1533-position model. The record is from RNAcentral.
AGUGAACGCUGGCGGCGUGCCUAAUACAUGCAAGUCGAACGCGAAAGUCCUUCGGGAUGAGUAAAGUGGCGCACGGGUGAGUAAUGGUUGAGAACAUGCCCUGAGGUGGGGAAUAACAGUUGGAAACGACUGCUAAUACCGCAUGGUAUCGCAAGAUUAAAGGUGGGGACCGCAAGGCCUACCGCCACAGGAUUGGCUCAACUCCCAUUAGCUAGUUGGUAGGGUAAUGGCCUACCAAGGCAACGAUGGGUAUGUGGUCUUAGAGGAUGAUCACACACACUGGAACUGAGACACGGUCCAGACUCCUACGGGAGGCAGCAGUAGGGAAUAUUGCACAAUGGAGGAAACUCUGAUGCAGCAACGCCGCGUGAGUGAAGAAGGCCCUUGGGUCGUAAAGCUCUUUAGCCUGGAAAGAAGUGCCAUCCCGUGAACAAUAGGGUGGUGUGACGGUACCAGGAGAAUAAGGACCGGCUAAUUUCGUGCCAGCCGCCGCCGUAAUAC